Long non-coding RNA from Oncorhynchus tshawytscha (Chinook salmon), 926 nucleotides. Lineage: Eukaryota; Metazoa; Chordata; Actinopteri; Salmoniformes; Salmonidae. The record is from Ensembl.
CUCCACUGACUGCUGAUAGAGCUGGUUGGCUGUGAAAGUAUCCGUCACAGCCAAACUGAAUCAUCUACUUCGACCUGAGCCCUAGGACCAUGCCCCAGGACUACCUGACAUGAUGACUCCUUGCUGUCCCCAGUCCACCUGGCCGUGCUGCUGCUCCAGUUUCAACUGUUCUGCCUUAUUAUUAUUCGACCAUGCUGGUCAUUUAUGAACAUUUGAACAUCUUGGCCAUGUUCUGUUAUAAUCUCCACCCAGCACAGCCAGAAGAGGACUGGCCACCCCACAUAUGCUCUCUCUAAUUCUCUCUUUCUUUCUCUCUCUCGGAGGACCUGAGCCCUAGGACCAUGCCCCAGGACUACCUGACAUGAUGACUCCUUGCUGUCCCCAGUCCACCUGGCCGUGCUGCUGCUCCAGUUUCACCUGUUCUGCCUUAUUAUUAUACGACCAUGCUGGUCAUUUAUGAACAUUUGAACAUCUUGGCCAUGUUCUGUUAUAAUCUCCACCCAGCACAGCCAGAAGAGGACUGGCCACCCCACAUAGCCUGGUUCCUCUCUAGGUUUCUUCCUAGGUUUUGGCCUUUCUAGGGAGUUUUUCCUAGCCACCGUGCUUCUACACCUGCAUUGCUUGCUGUUUGGGGUUUUAGGCUGGGUUUCUGUACAGCACUUUGAGAUAUCAGCUGAUGUACGAAGGGCUAUAUAAAUACAUUUGAUUUGAUUUGAUUUUGAUUUGAAUUAUAAUCCACAUAAUUCACAUUUCUUGUUGCUACAGGAUUAUUUUCAUGCUGUAUCAAACUGGCUCAAAUUGAGAUCCUACAUCCAUUUGUGUAUUUAUAAAUGAUUGAUACAGUGCCUUCAGAAAGUAUUCCCACCCCUUGACUUUUUCAACAUUUUGUUGUGUUACAGCCUGAAUUUAAAAUGGAUUAAAUUGAG